This 252-nucleotide long non-coding RNA is filed under the name Mytilus galloprovincialis (Mediterranean mussel). Lineage: Eukaryota; Metazoa; Mollusca; Bivalvia; Mytilida; Mytilidae. The record is from RNAcentral.
GUGCGUAUUGUUAUGCGUUUACUUUUCUACAUUGGCUAGAGGUAUAGGGGCAGGGUUGAGAUCUCAUAAACAUGUUUAACCCCGUCGCAAUUUUGCGCCUGUCCCAAGUCAGGAGCCUCUGGUCUUUGUUAGUCUUGUAUGAUUUUUGAUUUUAGUUUCUUGUGUAUAAUUCGGAGUUUAGUAUGACGUCCAUUAUCACUGUACAAGUAUACAUAUUUUUAGGGGCCAGCUGAAGGACACCUACGGGUGCGG